Molecule: ribosomal RNA, 870 nt
Filed under: Segniliparus sp.
Lineage: Bacteria; Bacillati; Actinomycetota; Actinomycetes; Mycobacteriales; Segniliparaceae
Description: bacterial SSU rRNA
Rfam family: Bacterial small subunit ribosomal RNA
Source: RNAcentral
GUAAAGAGCUCGUAGGCGGACUGUCGCGUCGCCUGUGAAAGCCCGUGGCUCAACCACGGGUUUGCAGGCGAUACGGGCAGACUAGAGUACUGCAGGGGAGACUGGAAUUCCUGGUGUAGCGGUGGAAUGCGCAGAUAUCAGGAGGAACACCGGUGGCGAAGGCGGGUCUCUGGGCAGUAACUGACGCUGAGGAGCGAAAGCGUGGGGAGCGAACAGGAUUAGAUACCCUGGUAGUCCACGCUGUAAACGGUGGGCGCUAGGUGUGGGUUUCCUUCCAUGAAAUCCGUGCCGUAGCUAACGCAUUAAGCGCCCCGCCUGGGGAGUACGGCCGCAAGGCUAAAACUCAAAGAAAUUGACGGGGGCCCGCACAAGCGGCGGAGCAUGUGGAUUAAUUCGAUGCAACGCGAAGAACCUUACCUGGGUUUGACAUGGACUGGAAAGCCGUAGAGAUACGGCCCCCCUUGUGGUCGGUUCACAGGUGGUGCAUGGCUGUCGUCAGCUCGUGUCGUGAGAUGUUGGGUUAAGUCCCGCAACGAGCGCAACCCUUGUCCUGUGUUGCCAGCGCGUAAUGGCGGGGACUCUCAGGAAACUGCCGGGGUCAACUCGGAGGAAGGUGGGGACGACGUCAAGUCAUCAUGCCCCUUAUGUCCAGGGCUUCACACAUGCUACAAUGGCGCGUACAGAGGGCAGCGAUAUCGCAAGAUGGAGCGAAUCCCUUAAAGCGCGUCUCAGUUCGGAUUGGGGUCUGCAACUCGACCCCAUGAAGUCGGAGUCGCUAGUAAUCGCAGAUCAGCAACGCUGCGGUGAAUACGUUCCCGGGCCUUGUACACACCGCCCGUCAAGUCACGAAAGUCGGUAACACCCGAAGCU